Molecule: long non-coding RNA, 224 nt
Filed under: Elaeis guineensis (African oil palm)
Lineage: Eukaryota; Viridiplantae; Streptophyta; Magnoliopsida; Arecales; Arecaceae
Description: long non-coding RNA (EGUI_LNC047866)
Source: RNAcentral
UGGACUUUCUUGAAUGUCUGCAGCAAUCUUAGCAAACUAUAGUAGUCACUGCAGACUUGGUCAUUCUACAAUAACUUAAGAAAGAUAAGUAUGAUUUCGAUAGCGAGUUUAAAAUAGCAUACUUGCCAACUGUUCAUGUAACGGAAAGCCAAGUUUGCUCAGGCAUUCAAUCUACUCGAUCAUGUACAAUACAUGAUCAGUGACUAACGUCCCUUCUUGCAUAC